RNAcentral lists this ribosomal RNA (695 nucleotides) under uncultured bacterium. RNAcentral's name for it is "bacterial SSU rRNA". It matches the Rfam family "Bacterial small subunit ribosomal RNA", at positions 141 to 851 of the family's 1533-position model. The record is from RNAcentral.
GGAUAACACUUAGAAAUAGGUGCUAAUACCGCAUGAGCGCACAGGACCGCAUGGUCGAGUGUGAAAAACUGAGGUGGUGUAAGAUGGACCCGCGUCUGAUUAGCUAGUUGGUGAGGUAACGGCCCACCAAGGCGACGAUCAGUAGCCGGCCUGAGAGGGUGGACGGCCACAUUGGGACUGAGACACGGCCCAAACUCCUACGGGAGGCAGCAGUGGGGGAUAUUGGACAAUGGGGGGAACCCUGAUCCAGCGACGCCGCGUGAGUGAAGAAGUAUCUCGGUAUGUAAAGCUCUAUCAGCAGGGAAGAAGAAAUGACGGUACCUGAGUAAGAAGCCCCGGCCAACUACGUGCCAGCAGCCGCGGUAAUACGUAGGGGGCAAGCGUUAUCCGGAAUUACUGGGUGUAAAGGGAGCGUAGACGGUGAUGUAAGUCUGGAGUGAAAGGCGGGGGCCCAACCCCCGGACUGCUCUGGAAACUAUGUGACUGGAGUGCAGGAGAGGUGAGCGGAAUUCCUAGUGUAGCGGUGAAAUGCGUAGAUAUUAGGAGGAACACCAGUGGCGAAGGCGGCUCACUGGACUGUAACUGACGUUGAGGCUCGAAAGCGUGGGGAGCAAACAGGAUUAGAUACCCUGGUAGUCCACGCCGUAAACGAUGAUCACUAGGUGUGGGUGGGUAUGGACCCAUCGGUGCCGCAG